This 299-nucleotide long non-coding RNA is filed under the name Salvia miltiorrhiza (redroot sage). RNAcentral describes it as "long non-coding RNA (SMIL_LNC001241)". Lineage: Eukaryota; Viridiplantae; Streptophyta; Magnoliopsida; Lamiales; Lamiaceae. The record is from RNAcentral.
GUACUCGUUGGAUAUACCCAUCAAUUUAUUUAUUUUGCAAGAUUUUCUUAUAAAACAAGCACUUUAUCAAUUCCAUCAAACACAUAAAAACUCAAAAUAAAUAAUACUACUAUUCAACGUCACAAACAAAUUAUAAAUUUCACAAUUAAAACUGAAAUAUAUCUUCUAAUAAAAACUCUACCAAACAUAUAAAAAUACAACCGGGGCAGGAUCGGGGUGGGUACUUAUACCCCGAACCCGACCCUGGUAUAAGUUUCAUGCCUGCCCUCGAAAUUUCACACCCAUACGCAACCUAUUAG